Non-coding RNA from Phascolarctos cinereus (koala), 840 nucleotides. NCBI's taxonomy places the organism in Eukaryota, Metazoa, Chordata, Mammalia, Diprotodontia, Phascolarctidae. The record is from RefSeq and is a predicted model, not a curated record.
ACUUCUUUCUUUUCUCUUUCUUCCCUCAGCAUCUCGCACAGUGUAUGGUAGGUGUUUAAUGAACACUGGUAAUCAACAAUUGUUGUUUGUUCUCAAAGAGGACCAGCUGAUUGAUUCACUAAACAUGAAAUCCAAAACUUGCUGUCUUCACCCACUCUCUGACUCUCUAUGAAUGACUAAAUAGUUACAAAGCUGGGUUCUUCUAGAAGCACUGGAAUCCUUGUUGAGGACUCCUUCCCUUGCCAUCAGCCAGCUCUGACCUGAUGAACCCAAGACCUCCGAGAUCAGCUCCAAGCCUGGACCUGGCCAUCUUGAGACUGGUGCCCCAGUCAGCUUGGAUCAAGCCAAGAAACACUGACACAGAAGAAGCAGCCUAAAACCCAAGCUCUAGCUUGCCUUGGUAGUACAUACUUUAAUACCCAUGUUCUUUGUAAAUCGGCCAUUUUUGUUGGAGUGGGAAGAAGGGUGGUCCCAGUUCCUACCCCUCAUGGGACAGCUAUCUGGCAUAAGGAAGUCUGAGGUAAAAGAAAGCUAGCGGAGAGUCAUUUCCUUUUUCAAGAUUCAAUGAAUCAUUGGCUCUUCCUAUUCAGUCACCAAUAAAGUGAUGGUUUUGUCAUCCUAAAGCACCUUUCAGCACUGAGUCAUCAAAAGCAGCCUCAUGCUUCAUCAUCUCCAAAGCACCCAAGCACUGAGCGUCAGGAGGGCCAGUUUUGCUCAUCCCCUGUUUAAUCUCUGGUUGUACUUUAUCAAGAGCAGGGCAAACUAGUGAUUUCAGCCACCUAGGAGUUCACUGGUCUCCUCAGGAAAAUCUCUCUGUAUAAUAAUAAUAGCUCACAUCCA